UAUAGUGAUUUACACUAUUGAAUUUCAAAAGCGUGGAUUGCCUCAUGCACAUAUCUUACUUUUUCUCCAUGAUAAAUUUCCAAAUGUUGGAGACAUUGAUGCGAUUAUUUCAGCUGAAUUGCCUGAUAAAUUACUUGAUCCGGAUUAUUAUGUGGUUGUUACAAACUUCAUGAUGCAUGGGCCAUGUGGUUCAAUAAGGAAAUCAUCCCCUUGCAUGCAAAAAGGCAAAUGUACAAAGCACUUUCCAAAAAGAUUUUUACCAUCUACCUCACUUGAUGAAGAAGGAUAUCCUUUAUAUCGAAGAAGAGAUGAUGGUAGAUCUACACAGAGAUCAGGUAUUGAUUUAGAUAAUCGAUAUGUUGUACCACAUAAUAAUUUUUUGCUAAUGAAAUAUGGGGCACAUAUUAAUGUUGAAUGGUGCAAUCAAUCAAGAUCGAUUAAAUACUUAUUUAAGUAUGUUAAUAAAGGUCAUGAUCGAGUCACAGUAGCUUUUUGCGAUAGUGUUAAUUCUUCAGAUUCAAAGGUUGUUGAUGAAAUAAAAAUGUAUUGUGAUUGUCGCUAUAUAUCAUCCUGUGAAGCAGCUUGGAGAAUUUUCAAAUUCCCAAUCAACCAUAGAGAACCUUUUGUAGAAAGGUUAUCUUUUCAUCUACCAGACAAUCAAAAUGUCAUAUUUUCAGAUGAUGAUCCAAUUGAUGUUGUUAUCAAUAAACCAACAGUGAAGGAAUCAAUGUUUUUAAGAUGGUUGGAAGCUAAUAAGGAAUUUCCUGAAGCAAGACAUCUAACGUAUGCAGAAUUUCCUUUAAAGUUUGUUUGGAAGCAACAAUCUAAGAGAUGGGAAAAAAGGAAAACUUCAGCAUUUUCUAUUGGAAGAAUUUUCUUUGUUCCACCAGGAUCAGGUGAGCAAUAUUACCUUAGAUUGCUAUUGAAUGUUGUUAAAGGUCCAACUUCUUAUGAGGAAAUCAGAAGAAUAAAUGAUAUUUAUCAUGAGACCUUUAGAGAUGCAUGUUAUGCUCUAGGAUUAUUAGAUGAUGACAAAGAAUAUGUUGAUGCUAUAGUAGAAGCAAGUCAAUGGGGAAUGCCAUCAUAUCUACGACAAUUAUUUGCUAUGCUACUUAUAUCUAAUUCAAUGUCACGUCCGGAGAUAGUGUGGCAAUCAACUUGGCACUUACUAUCAGAAGAUAUCGUUUUUGAAGAAAGAAGAAUAUUAGAUAACCCAGGUAUUUAAUAAUGUUUACACUUGACACUAAUCAUAUAUAAUCUUUUUUUUUUCUUUUUCUUAUUAUUUAUUAUUAUUUUACUUUUAAAAUUUUUUAAUAAUUAGUAAAUUAGAAUUAGAUUAUUUUAUUAAAUUAGUAUAUGUUUAUAUGUUUUUUCAGAAGUUUAUCUAUCUGAAGCAGAUUUGAAGAAUCGUUGCUUGCAAAAGAUUGAAACCUUUUUAAAAGGUUGUGGAAGGAGUUUUCAAGAUUUUUCAACAAUGCCAUUACCUGUCUAUAAUGAGGAUGAGGUCGAUUAUAGCAACAGAUUAAUUCGAGAUGAAAUGCGUUACAAUAAAGGUGCUUUAACUGAUGAACAUCAAGAAUUGCUACAAAAUUUAACUGAUGAACAUAAAGCAGUUUACAAAAAGAUUAUGUCAGCAGUUAUUACAAAUAGUGGUGGAUUUUUCUUUUUAUACGGCUUUGGAGGUACAGGAAAAACUUUUAUUUGGAGGACAUUAUCAGCAGCUAUACGAUCUAAAGGAGAUAUUGUUUUGACAGUAGCUUCUAGCGGGAUUGCAUCUCUAUUGUUGCCUGGUGGUAGAACAUCACAUUCAAGAUUUGUUAUCCCUUUGAAUAUAAAUGAAGAUUCAACAUGUAAUAUAAAGCAAGGUACUCCUUUAGCAAAUUUGAUAGUCAAGGCAAAGUUGAUUAUUUGGGAUGAGGCUCCUAUGAUGCAUAAAUAUUGUUUUGAAGCUUUGGAUAAAACUUUAAGAGAUAUUAUUAGCUAUAAAGAUGCAUCUAAGGCAGAAUUACCAUUUGGAGGAAAAACAGUUGUUCUUGGAGGUGACUUUAGACAAAUUUUACCCGUUAUUCCAAAAGGUACUAGACAAGAUAUUGUUAAUGCAAUUGUAAAUUCAUCAUAUUUAUGGCCACAAUGUCAACUAUUGACUCUAACAAAGAAUGUGAGGUUACAAAGCAAUGCAAACGAUACACAUUUGGAAGAAUUGAGAGAUUUUUCUAAUUGGAUAUUGAAAGUUGGGGAUGGUAGCAUUGGAAGUUCAAUUGAUGGAAUAGACAAAGUUUUAAUACCUAAUGAUCUUCUAAUAAAUGAGUAUAUUGAUCCUAUAGCAUCUAUUGUUGAAAGUAUUUAUCCAGAUUUCAUCACUAAUUGCAAUGAUCCAGAGUACCUUCAACAAAGAGCCAUUCUUGCUCCAACUCUUGAUAUGGUUGAAUCGAUAAAUCAGUAUAUGAUUACUCUUAAUCAUAAUCCUGAGAAAUCAUAUUUAAGUUCUGAUAAAAUUUGCAGGUCUGAUCAUACUUAUUCAGCUUUGGAACAUGUACAUACCCCUGAAUUUUUGAACAAUAUUAAAUGUUCUGGCGUUCCAAAUCAUUCAAUCACUUUAAAGGUUGGGGUUCCAGUGAUGUUACUAAGAAAUAUCGAUCAGUCAGCGGGAUUAUGUAAUGGAACUAGAUUGAUUGUUACUAAACUUGGAAAUCAAGUAAUUGAAGCAAAGGUUUUAUCUGGACAGAUGGUUGGCCGGAAGGUAUUUAUUCCAAGAAUGACUUUAACACCUUCAGAUUAUAGAAUUCCUUUUAAGUUUCAAAGAAGACAGUUUCCUAUAACUGUAUCAUUUGCUAUGACAAUCAAUAAGAGUCAAGGACAGUCUUUAUCUCAUGUGGGCUUAUUUCUGAAGAAGCCAGUGUUUACGCAUGGACAUUUAUAUGUUGCUCUUUCCAAAGUGACAAAUAGAAAGGGAUUAAAAAUACUUACUUACGAUGAAGAUGGGCAAAUAAGUAAUGAAGCCACAAAUGUAGUAUAUAAAGAAGUACUCCAAGACUUAUUUGACAUACAUUGUAUUUUUUAACUUUUAUAUAUAUACUACAAUUUUUGUUGUGUAUGUUACAAUAACUUUUAUAUUAACUGUUAUAUAUGUUUUAGGUUUCAUUAAUAAUGUAAUUUAACUUAGUAAGUUAACAUUAAGUAGGUACACAUUAAUAAAAAAAGACAAAGAAAGUCCAAAUUACUUUGAAAUAUGCAAUAGUCGAUAUGUACUAACCUUAAUUAGCUAAUUAUAAUCACUGCUAUUUUCCAUCGAUACACUAGCAGAAAAAAAAUCUUCCCAUUAUCAACUUCUCCGCCAUCUACAAUACACUUAUUAAAAAGCAAAUAUGAAAAUAUAUUAGGCAAUUUUUUUCAGUUAGAAUGCAUUAAGACAGAAAUUGUAUUAUGAAACAUUGCUCAAAAUAGUUGUAUAUAUAUAAAUUAUCAUAAACUACACAAAUCUAUAUAUUAAUACUACUAUUAAACAUUAAUAAUAAAUACAACUUCAUAGUUAUCAGAUAGUUUUAAAUACGAGUACAGAUAGAUUAUAAGACUUCACACAUUUACAAUCUUUACUAUUUUUUUAACUUUACUCAUUUAUCUAAAAAGUAAAAGUCACAAGUUCCUAUAUUUUAAGGUCAUUUUAAACAAAUUAUGAUUUGGAAACCAAGAAAAUGAUAACUUUUUCUUAUAAUAUAUAAUAAACUGUGUCUUGAAAAUUCACAUUAAAAAUUUUCAAGUACAAUUUACUCCGGCUUGCUUGGAAAACUGUAACUCAGAUUAUAUAUACAAAAUCUCUGAAUCACCAAACAAGAUACCAAAAUCUUUAUCAACAUAAGCUUAUUAUAGCUUUGCAAUAACAUGCAUUUACUACUUUAUAAUUUAAAUUAAAGUUAAACUAUUAGCCGUAUCUGACCAUCCCAAAUAGAUAUGAAGGAGACAUAACCUGAUAAAUCUCAUUAAAAUUAAUCCAAAACAAGAACUACUUCAUGCUAAUAUAUUCUUCAAUUGAAGUUUUCAUUAUGAAGGAUCAAUAUAAAAAAAUGUCAAAAAUUUAACUCACCAUUUCACAGUACAUUGAAUUUUUGUCGGAACGAUACUAGAUCUGAAAACAACUCCUAUCAAAUGUUUUAUGCAAUAUAUAUUAAUCUUAACCUGCUUGAAGAAAGUCAUUUUUAUGCUAUGUUAUCAUUUGCAUGUUCAAAUGUUGAAAUUCUAAAAUUAACUUUACCAUAUAUUUGCAGAAGACAUUCAUAGUAGAAAAGACAAUAGAAGAUUUACUAAAGAGAUGAAAGAAAUAGCACUCACAACAUUGACAAAUCACUCAGAAACUUAGCGAAGAUCCACACUCGGAAGAGGUACCUCACCUUUCAAAUCUGGAAAAUUUUGUUCAUAUUUUGGUCUCUUUCCAGAGAGAUCCAUUUUGUUUGUUUUUUACGUUUUUCCCUUUUUACUUUCCAAUUACUUUUGGAUUUUGGUGGGUUGUCCAAAAGUCUAUUUGAUUUUACUUUUUUCCAAUUCACUUAGAUUGACCAUAUUUUAAUAAAACUAAUAAAUACAUAUACA
Molecule: long non-coding RNA, 4584 nt
Filed under: Solanum tuberosum (potato)
Lineage: Eukaryota; Viridiplantae; Streptophyta; Magnoliopsida; Solanales; Solanaceae
Description: long non-coding RNA (STUB_LNC001661)
Source: RNAcentral